RNAcentral lists this ribosomal RNA (367 nucleotides) under uncultured Desulfuromonadales bacterium. RNAcentral describes it as "bacterial SSU rRNA". It matches the Rfam family "Bacterial small subunit ribosomal RNA", at positions 1016 to 1382 of the family's 1533-position model. The record is from RNAcentral. Lineage: Bacteria; Pseudomonadati; Thermodesulfobacteriota; Desulfuromonadia; Desulfuromonadales.
GCCUUUCGGGAGCCGUAAGACAGGUGCUGCAUGGCUGUCGUCAGCUCGUGUCGUGAGAUGUUGGGUUAAGUCCCGCAACGAGCGCAACCCCCUAUCCUCAGUUGCCAUCAUUAAGUUGGGCACUCUGUGGAGACUGCCGGUGUUAAACCGGAGGAAGGUGGGGAUGACGUCAAGUCCUCAUGGCCCUUAUGACCAGGGCUACACACGUGCUACAAUGGCCGGUACAAAGAGUUGCGAGACCGCGAGGUGGAGCCAAUCUCAGAAAGCCGGUCUCAGUUCGGAUUAGAGUCUGCAACUCGACUCUAUGAAGUUGGAAUCGCUAGUAAUCGCGGAUCAGCACGCCGCGGUGAAUACGUUCCCGGGCCUU